Molecule: ribosomal RNA, 252 nt
Filed under: uncultured bacterium
Lineage: Bacteria
Also listed under: 1 other name
Description: partial 16S ribosomal RNA
Rfam family: Bacterial small subunit ribosomal RNA
Source: RNAcentral
UACGUAGGUGGCGAGCGUUGUCCGGAAUUAUUGGGCGUAAAGGGAGCGCAGGCGGGCGAGUAAGUCUUUCUUAAAAGUGCGGGGCUCAACCCCGUGAGGGGAGAGAAACUACUCAUCUUGAGUGCAGGAGAGGAAAGCGGAAUUCCUAGUGUAGCGGUGAAAUGCGUAGAUAUUAGGAAGAACACCAGUGGCGAAGGCGGCUUUCUGGACUGUAACUGACGCUGAGGCUCGAAAGCCAGGGGAGCGAACGGG